UACGUAGGGUGCAAGCGUUGUCCGGAAUUGUUGGGCGUAAAGAGCUCGUAGGCGGUCUGUCGCGUCGGAUGUGAAAACCCGGGGCUUAACCCCGGGCCUGCAUUCGAUACGGGCAGACUCGAGUGUGGUAGGGGAGACUGGAACUCCUGGUGUAGCGGUGAAAUGCGCAGAUAUCAGGAAGAACACCGGUGGCGAAGGCGGGUCUCUGGGCCGAUAUCGACGCUGAGGAGCGAAAGCGUGGGGAGCAAACAGG
This 253-nucleotide ribosomal RNA is filed under the name uncultured bacterium. Its description in RNAcentral is "partial 16S ribosomal RNA". It matches the Rfam family "Bacterial small subunit ribosomal RNA", at positions 524 to 776 of the family's 1533-position model. The record is from RNAcentral.